This 253-nucleotide ribosomal RNA is filed under the name uncultured bacterium. RNAcentral's name for it is "partial 16S ribosomal RNA". It matches the Rfam family "Bacterial small subunit ribosomal RNA", at positions 524 to 776 of the family's 1533-position model. The record is from RNAcentral.
UACGUAGGGGGCUAGCGUUGUCCGGAAUCAUUGGGCGUAAAGAGCGUGUAGGCGGCCCGGUAAGUCCGCUGUGAAAGUCGGGGGCUCAACCCUCGGAUGCCGGUGGAUACUGUCGGGCUCGAGUACGGAAGAGGCGAGUGGAAUUCCACGUGUAGCAGUGAAAUGCGUAGAGAUGUGGAGGAAUACCGAUGGCGAAGGCGGCCUGCUGGGCAGUUGCUGACACUGAGGCGCGACAGCGUGGGGAGCAAACAGG